Molecule: ribosomal RNA, 770 nt
Filed under: uncultured Neocallimastigales
Lineage: Eukaryota; Fungi; Neocallimastigomycota; Neocallimastigomycetes; Neocallimastigales
Description: partial large subunit ribosomal RNA
Rfam family: Eukaryotic large subunit ribosomal RNA
Source: RNAcentral
CGCAUCUGUGCAUGCAGCAUAUCAAUAAGCGGAGGAAAAGAAACUAACAAGGAUUCCCUCAGUAACGGCGAGUGGAGCGGGAAGAGCUCAAAUUUGAAAUCUUGAAAGGUCACCUUUCACGAAUUGUAGUUUAAAGAAGUGUUUUCUGUUACGAUCGUAAUAUAAGUUCUUUGGAAUAGGACAUCACAGAGGGUGAGAAUCCCGUCUAUGAUUGCGAUUUGUAGCUUUGUGAUACACUUUCAAAGAGUCGGGUUGUUUGGGAAUGCAGCCCAAAACGGGAGGUAAAUUUCUUCUAAGGCUAAAUAUUGGCGAGAGACCGAUAGCGAACAAGUACCGUGAGGGAAAGAUGAAAAGAACUUUGAAAAGAGAGUUAAAUAGUACGUGAAAUUGUCAAAAGGGAAGCGUUUAACACCAGUGUUGUUUUCUGAAAAUCAACCUCUGUUAGCUUUAUGCAUGUUUGUUUAGACCUAAUCAGCUAUCUUGCAUGUUCUAUUGUUUGCAGUGGUGCACUUUUCAGUUUACAGGUCAACAUCAGUUUUUUUUACCGUAAAAAAGUUAAAGAAAGGUAGCUCAUGGCUCCGGUCGUGAGUGUUAUAGUCUUUUUCCUAUGCGGUAGGAGAGACUGAGGUCUGCAGUGUAGGCUAUUUGGCUAGAUACUCAGGUGCUAUGUGAUACCAUUUCAUAAACAACUUGUUGAUUAUGUUUUGUCUAUUGCAUACUCGCUUGUACUAUCAUACCUACGCUUAGGAUGUUGACGAUCAGCUGAGCGC